RNAcentral lists this ribosomal RNA (400 nucleotides) under uncultured bacterium. Its description in RNAcentral is "bacterial SSU rRNA". It matches the Rfam family "Bacterial small subunit ribosomal RNA", at positions 356 to 773 of the family's 1533-position model. The record is from RNAcentral.
GGGGAAUAUUGCACAAUGGAGGAAACUCUGAUGCAGCAACGCCGCGUGAGUGAUGAAGGUCUUCGGAUUGUAAAACUCUGUCUUAUGGGACGAUAAUGACGGUACCAUAGGAGGAAGCCACGGCUAACUACGUGCCAGCAGCCGCGGUAAUACGAAGGUGGCAAGCGUUGUCCGGAUUUACUGGGCGUAAAGGGAGCGUAGGUGGAUAUUUAAGUGAGAUGUGAAAUCCCCGGGCUUAACUUGGGGGCUGCAUUUCAAACUGGAUGUCUAGAGUGCAGGAGAGGAAAGCAGAAUUCCUAGUGUAGCGGUGAAAUGCGUAGAGAUUAGGAAGAAUACCAGUGGCGAAGGCGGCUUUCUGGACGGUAACUGACGCUGAGGCAUGAAAGCGUGGGGAGCAAAC